Molecule: ribosomal RNA, 253 nt
Filed under: uncultured bacterium
Lineage: Bacteria
Description: partial 16S ribosomal RNA
Rfam family: Bacterial small subunit ribosomal RNA
Source: RNAcentral
UACGUAGGUGGCAAGCGUUAUCCGGAAUUACUGGGCGUAAAGCGCACGCAGGCGGUCUUUUAAGUUUGACGUGAAAGCUCCCGGCUUAACUGGGAGAGGUCGUUGAAGACUGGAAGACUUGAGGCAAUGAGAGGGGUGUAGAAUUCCCGGUGUAGUGGUGGAAUGCGUAGAUAUCGGGGGGAAUACCAGUGGCGAAAGCGGCACCCUAGCGUUAGCCUGACGCUCAUGUGCGAAAGCGUGGGGAGCGAACAGG